ACUCAAAGGAAUUGACGGGGGCCCGCACAAGCAGCGGAGCGUGUGGUUUAAUUCGAGGCUACCCGAAGAACCUUACCUGGGGUUGACAUGGUACUGAACGAGCGCGAAAGCGUAAGGGUCGCAAGACAGUAUCACAGGUGCUGCAUGGCUGUCGUCAGCUCGUGUCGUGAGAUGUUCGGUUAAGUCCGGUAACGAGCGCAACCCUCGGUGGUAGUUACAAGUGUCUACCGCGACUGCCCGGUGAAACUGGGAGGAAGGUGGGGAUGACGUCAAGUCAGCAUGGCCUAUAUCUCCAGGGCGACACACACGCUACAAUGGUCGGUACAGUCGGUUGCCAAGCCGCGAGGCGGAGCCAAUCCGGCAAAACCGGUCUCAGUUCGGAUUGCAGGCUGCAACUCGCCUGCAUGAAGGUGGAGUUGCUAGUAAACGCGCAUCAGCCAAGGCGCGUUGAAUACGUUCCCGGGCCUUGUACACACCGCCCGU
Molecule: ribosomal RNA, 483 nt
Filed under: uncultured bacterium
Lineage: Bacteria
Description: partial 16S ribosomal RNA
Rfam family: Bacterial small subunit ribosomal RNA
Source: RNAcentral